RNAcentral lists this long non-coding RNA (595 nucleotides) under Helianthus annuus (common sunflower). The record is from RNAcentral. Lineage: Eukaryota; Viridiplantae; Streptophyta; Magnoliopsida; Asterales; Asteraceae.
AUGUCAAACAAGUCCUGCAACCAAAAGAUUAGAUCCGAUAGUUAGAAUAAUGGCGGCGGUUAGCGUUUCUUCAAGCUAUUGAUAGCGGCUGUUGUUGUUGCAAUUCGGAGAAGAAUCAACCACUAAUCCAGUUUGUACUUUCGUAUCUUGCUAAGAUGUUUCCUGGUGAAGGAACAUCCAGUGUAGUUGCUUCCGUGGUAACCCAGCAACAUGAUUCUUGAAAAUUCGAACGGGUCAGGAGCGUCGAAACAGAGGAAAAUAAUUGUAUAUGGGGUAUUCCUCAAAACAUGUUGGAGAAUUUAGCAAUGCAGAAAAUAUAAAGUGUUUAAAGGAGUGGCUACUUUAGUUAGCAAGGUGGUGGAGGAAGUAAAUGAAACAUCGUAUGCUUGGAUCCAGCACAUGUCAAAGAUUAUGAGUAUUUCGUGGAGUGAUUGGCGCAACUUUAAUUUAUCGUUUAAUGUCAUUUUUUUGUAUUCUUUUUGUGAUGUAACUCUGCUAGACUAUGUUUUGUUCUUGCUGUUCGGGUCUCCCUUUGCUCCUUGCUAAGUGGAUGUGUUUGGCUGGAUUAAUAAAGGUUUUCUUUGUUGUUUUUCUU